CGCCCGCCGCGCGCGGCGGGCCUACGGGAGGCAGCAGUGGGGAAUAUGCACAAUGGGCGCAAGCCUGAUGCAGCCAUGCCGCGUGUAUGAAGAAGGCCUUCGGGUUGUAAAGUACUUUCAGCGGGGAGGAAGGCGUUGAGGUUAAUAACCUCAGCGAUUGACGUUACCCGCAGAAGAAGCACCGGCUAACUCCGUGCCAGCAGCCGCGGUAAUA
Molecule: ribosomal RNA, 214 nt
Filed under: uncultured bacterium
Lineage: Bacteria
Description: partial 16S ribosomal RNA
Rfam family: Bacterial small subunit ribosomal RNA
Source: RNAcentral